Molecule: ribosomal RNA, 440 nt
Filed under: uncultured bacterium
Lineage: Bacteria
Description: partial 16S ribosomal RNA
Rfam family: Bacterial small subunit ribosomal RNA
Source: RNAcentral
CCUACGGGUGGCAGCAGUAGGGAAUAUUGCACAAUGGGGGAAACCCUGAAGCAGCAACGCCGCGUGGAGGAUGAAGGGCUUCGGAGUGUAAACCCCUGUUGGUAGAGAAGAUAAUGACGGUAUCUAACGAAUAAGCACCGGCUAACUCCGUGCCAGCAGCCGCGGUAAUACGGAGGGUGCAAGCGUUACUCGGAAUCACUGGGCGUAAAGAGCGCGUAGGCGGGGUUGCAAGUCAGAUGUGAAAUCCUAUGGCUUAACCAUAGAACUGCAUUUGAAACUGUUAGUCUAGAGUAUGGGAGGGGUAGGUGGAAGUCUUGGUGUAGGGGUGAAAUCCGUAGAGAUCAAGAGGAAUACUCAUUGCGAAGGCGACCUGCUGGAACAUAACUGACGCUGAUGCGCGAAAGCGUGGGGAGCAAACAGGAUUAGAUACCCCAGUAGUC